CAGCAGCCACGGGAAUACGAAGGGGGCUAGCGUUGCUCGGAAUUACUGGGCGUAAAGGGAGCGUAGGCGGAUCGUUAAGUUGGGGGUGAAAGCCCGGGGCUCAACCUCGGAAUUGCCUUCAAUACUGGCGAUCUUGAGUAUGGAAGAGGUAUGUGGAACUCCGAGUGUAGAGGUGAAAUUCGUAGAUAUUCGGAAGAACACCAGUGGCGAAGGCGACAUACUGGUCCAUUACUGACGCUGAGGCUCGAAAGCGUGGGGAGCAAACAGGAUUAGAUACCCCUGUAGUCCCUGUCUCUUAUAC
RNAcentral lists this ribosomal RNA (301 nucleotides) under uncultured bacterium. RNAcentral describes it as "partial 16S ribosomal RNA". It matches the Rfam family "Bacterial small subunit ribosomal RNA", at positions 509 to 807 of the family's 1533-position model. The record is from RNAcentral.